Molecule: unclassified non-coding RNA, 2772 nt
Filed under: Hevea brasiliensis (rubber tree)
Lineage: Eukaryota; Viridiplantae; Streptophyta; Magnoliopsida; Malpighiales; Euphorbiaceae
Source: RNAcentral
CGCGGGGACCGGUGGGCGGCUCGAGUUUAUUCUUCAUUUUCUGGAUGCUCUUUCUCUCUCUUCUCUCUUUCGCCAGGAGCUUGCGCAAUCAAUAUAUGAUAUGAAAAUAUCCCUAAUAAAAAUUAAUAAAAAGCUGGGCAAUCGAUCCUCGAAAUUGUGAGAGAAAAAUUCAUCCAGUAAUUGGGGGCUGGAUUGGAUUGGAUUUGAUUUGAUUGAAAAUGGCGAAUACAGAUCUGUUCGAUGCAUAUUUCAAGAGAGCAGAUUUGGACUGCGACGGUCAGAUCAGUGGAGCUGAAGCCGUUGCUUUCUUUCAAGGUUCUGGUUUGCCCAAACAAGUCCUCGCUCAGGUGUGGAUGCAUGCUGAUCAGAGAAAAGCUGGUUUCCUUGGUCGUCAAGAGUUCUAUAAUGCUCUUAAGCUUGUUACUGUGGCACAAAGUAAGCGGGAGCUGACUCCAGAUAUAGUGAAGGCAGCAUUAUAUGGUCCUGCUUCAGCGAAAAUUCCUGCUCCUCAGAUAAACCUUGCAGCCACACCUGCUCCUAAAGCAGUAACACCUGCUCCUCAAAUGGCUGGUACCACGUCAGUGGCACCUCAAAACUUUGGUAUCAGACCACCACAGAUGCCUGGAAAUGCAAGCACAAACCAGCAAUAUUUCUCAUCUCAGCAAAGUCAAUUUGUGAGGCCAUCCCAAGCUAUGCCUUCCAACUCUGUGUCUCAUCCACAACUAGUUCCUGCAAGCCAAGCUGUGCCUAGGGGUAGUACCAUGGCUGUUCCUCGCCCUUCAAAUUCAAAUGUCUCAACUGAUUGGGCUGGUGGUGGUCUAGGUGUCCCAACUACCCAAAAUCAAAGUAGGGAGAUUAGUCCUCCUCCAACUCAGGAUGGAUUUGGGCUAACAGCAUCAGGUUUGAUGCCCUCUGUCCAACCUAGACCACAGUUGACAACUGGACAGACGCCUUCUAGUAUUCCAAAACCUCAAGAGGCUGCUGUGGCCUCCAACCAAUCAGCAACUAAGGAUUCUAAAGUUUCAGGGAAUGGCUUCGCCUCUGAAUCACUUUUUGGAGAUGUAUUUGCUGCAAUUCCUGCUCAGCCAGCACAAAGUUCCUCCUCAGCUGCAUCAUCUACGAGUACCUUACCUGUAUCAGUGGGAAUUGUUCCAUCUUCUGCUGGGUCCCAACCUUCAAUCAAGCCAAACACUCUUGAAACUUUGCAGAGUACAUUUUCUCAGCAACCUGUUGGUGGGCAUUCAGCAGGAAGGCAGAACCAGGUUGUUGCAGCUCAAAGUUCUGCUGUUACUUCAUCUGGACUUCCUGUUGGAGCUGCGAAUUCAGAUUCCAGUCAAUCCCAGCCUCCAUGGCCAAAGAUGACUCAGUCUGGUAUUCAGAAGUAUAUGAAAGUAUUUGUGCAGGUAGACACAGAUAGAGAUGGAAAAAUAACCGGUGAACAGGCACGCAACCUCUUCUUAAGUUGGAGGCUGCCAAGAGGUAGACUACAAGACAUUCCUUUUUUCCUUUUCAUUCAAGUUCAACUGUGUAGCAUCAGAUGAGUUCAGUGAUGGUAAGAUGUUGUCUUAAGACAGAUAAUAGAAGCAAUAUGACAACCUUUAUGAGAAUAGUCGUGUAAUUUUGCUUUUUGCACCUAUUUGUAAGAUUUACUAUUCCCCCGAUAGAACUUGGGUACCCUAUUACCAUAUUGAAAAUGUACAUUAUUUGGUCUGAAUUAAGAACUUCAGCUGGAGAAUAUAUUAAGGCCAAACUUGCUUCUGUAACAGGUAGAUUGGCAAAAAGAAUGGUUUGCAAGGAGAGACUAACUUCAGUUUUACUAUUUCCUGGGAUUAAUUAUGAUAGUUGAUGGCGAUGCCAGCACAUCUAAAAUCAAUUACCUGGCACAGUAUGAAGUAGUCAUCGAGUUUACUUUUCUUGUAAUUCUUUCUCUUAAUCAUAUGAAUUUUCUAAUCAUGCAGGUUGAAGCUUGAUAUGACAGCUUUUUAUUUAAGAUUUCUUUAGUGGAAACUAUUGCAUUCUCAUAUUACAUGACAGCCACAUAAUAUUGUCCUUGGUGUUUCAGAGGUCUUAAAACAGGUUUGGGAUUUAUCUGAUCAAGAUAACGACAGUAUGCUUUCUUUAAGGGAGUUCUGUACUGCUCUCUAUUUGAUGGAACGUUACAGAGAAGGCUGUCCUCUUCCUACUACACUCCCAAGCUCUGUAAUGUCUGAUGAGAUUUUGUUGUCUGCUACAAGCCACCUUACAGCUUCGCAUGGCAGUGGAACUUGGGGACCUGCUUCUGGUCCUCGACCACCACAAGUUAUGAUGGGUCCACGGCCAGCACCUGCUGCUGCAGCAAGGCCACCAAGACCCCCUGUUCAUCAUGCUGAUGAAAAACAGCCCCCUCAGCAAAAGCGCAAAGUUCCUGUUCUGGAAAAGCAUCUUGUUGAUCAGCUGAGCCAGGAGGAGCAGGAUUCUCUGAACUCAAAGUUCCAAGAGGCAGCGCAGGCUGAUAAAAAGGCACUUUUCAAUAAUUUUGUGCACUUGAUAUGCACAAGCUUUAUUUUGUAUAAUUCUUUUGGUGCUGUUUUCUAUAUAUUUUUCAGUUGAGGGAUUUUGAUUGUUAAUCCUUUAAAGUUUCCUUUUUUAACUUGAAUUAAUAGGAACAACGUUAGUAGAUAUUUAUGUGUUGACUUUUCUCCAUCUUUUUUACUGAAGGUUGAAGAAUUGGAAAAGGAAAUAGCAGAUUCUAGACAGAAAAUUGAGUUCUAUCGUGUUAAGAUGCAGGAACUU